Molecule: ribosomal RNA, 497 nt
Filed under: uncultured bacterium
Lineage: Bacteria
Description: partial 16S ribosomal RNA
Rfam family: Bacterial small subunit ribosomal RNA
Source: RNAcentral
GAUGAACGCUGGCGGCGUGCCUAAUACAUGCAAGUCGAGCGAACGGACGCGAAGCUUGCUUCUCUGAUGUUAGCGGCGGACGGGUGAGUCACACGUGGAUACCCUCCCUAUCUGACUGGGAUAACUUCGGGACACCGGAUCUAAUACCGGAUAAUAUUUUGAACCGCAUGGUUCAAAAGUGAAAGACGGUCUUGCUGUCUCUUCUCGCUGGAUCCGCGCUGCAUUAGCUAGUUGGUAAGGUAACGGGUUACCAAGGCAACGAUGCAUAGCCGACCUGAGAGGGGGAUCGGCCACACGGGAACUGGGACACGGUCCAGACGCCUACGGGAGGCAGCAGUAGGGAAUCUGCGGCAAUGGGCGAAAGCCUGACGGAGCAACGCCGCGUGAGUGAUGAAGGCCUUGGGAUCGUAAAGCUCUGUUAUUAGGGAAGAACAGAUUUGUAAGUAGCUGUACACAGCUUGACGGUACCGAAUCAGAAAGCAACGGCUAACUACGUG